UGACCCUUAACCCUCUGUGGACUGGCUGGC
RNAcentral lists this non-coding RNA (30 nucleotides) under Rattus norvegicus (Norway rat). Lineage: Eukaryota; Metazoa; Chordata; Mammalia; Rodentia; Muridae. The record is from RNAcentral.